CAGUAGCCGCGGUAAUACGUAGGGUGCAAGCGUUAAUCGGAAUUACUGGGCGUAAAGCGUACGCAGGCGGUUAUAUAAGUCAGAUGUGAAAUCCCCGGGCUCAACCUGGGAACUGCAUUUGAGACUGUAUGGCUAGAGUGUGUCUGAGGGGGGUAGAAUUCCACGUGUAGCAGUGAAAUGCGUAGAUAUGUGGAGGAAUACCGAUGGCGAAGGCAGCCCCCUGGGAUAACACUGACGCUCAUGCACGAAAGCGUGGGGAGCAAACAGGAUUAGAUACCCCUGUAGUCCCUGUCUCUUAUAC
Molecule: ribosomal RNA, 301 nt
Filed under: uncultured bacterium
Lineage: Bacteria
Description: partial 16S ribosomal RNA
Rfam family: Bacterial small subunit ribosomal RNA
Source: RNAcentral